Physcomitrium patens is the source of this 2459-nucleotide non-coding RNA. Lineage: Eukaryota; Viridiplantae; Streptophyta; Bryopsida; Funariales; Funariaceae. The record is from RefSeq and is a predicted model, not a curated record.
AUGGGAGUGGGGGUUGGGAACAAGGGAUGGAGAUGAGGCCAUGAUUCUGGAAACGCGUACAGAUUUAGCUAAACUUGGUAGAAUUGCAACUCAAAUCUGAGUCUACCACCCAAAGUUUGCUUCCUGAUCGAAAUCCUAAUGUUGUGUUGUGGUUGGUUGAAACCCUAAUUUGUCUUUGCUCGUCGUCCCGUAAACUUGCACUUUUGCGCAGCGAUUCCGAGGGCAUCGCAGUUACCCGAAAGAUCAGGUUAACCAGACAACAUGUUUCGUUCAUCCGAUCACCCGGUUUGGUGGAAGGGACAAUGAGGUGUGAUUGAUUGGAAAGAAGAAACCUUUGGUAGUGAACCUUUGGUAGUGAAAAAUGGCCGAGUCGAUGAGGAUUGGACCCACAGAACCGAAUGCGGGCGAUUGCGAUGCAGACGCUCGUGGGAAUUGUUGUCAUAAUUGGGCGUGUCGAAGGAGGCCAGGGACCUUGUGACCAUGCACGUCUGUGCCAGGCCCCGGAUGUGGCGUCUCAGACCCUAUGCUGCUUGUUUGCUUUACAACGACUGUCUGAAUGUGAUGAGUUUAUGAUUUCAAUAUUGUUCAUGAUUCCUGUUCUUAAAUGCACCCCAAGGAUUACGUGUGACGGUAUGAUGAGGAACGUUGGUCAUAAAGUUCGCGUGUCGUUAGUUGCGGAACGGGGCAACCGCACAAGACGACGUUGAGGGUGUAUUGCUGAACUUGGAGCUGGAGACAGUGAAGAAAUCAAUCACGAGGGCGGUCAAAGCAAUCGUUGAAGAGAGAGGCUUUUGUGUGGACCAUGUUCCUGUAUGGUUCCUUUUGAAAAGAUUCAAUCCCCAGGACGAUCUCGUGGCUCAUGGUGACGAUGGGGUCCGAGCAUGGCGAGAGGUGGAGGUCGUAUUGGGUGAGAGUGGGUGACCGGCCGACAGUGGGCGUCGUGGUGACGUUUGCUUGGAUGUUUAGCAAGCGGCAGCACCUUGUGCCGUAUACUCGUCUCUACGGUGCUUCGGGCUGCGACUCGCUCGUUUGCCACCCAUCUGUGCUCAAUUUAUGGUUUCCUAGCCGCGCUGAAGCACUGGCUGUCCAAAUCCUCGACGAGCUUGCCAAGGAGGUUAAGGACAACCCACGACCCAUUGUGUUUGCUACUUUCUCUGGGGGAGCGAAAACAUGCUUGUACAAAAUUUUACAGAUUUUACAAGGCACGGGAGAGACAGGCUCACAAUAUGCUGGGAAAUACCGGGCUGUCGAGACGUGCGUGCGAGGGCAAGUUCACGAUUCCAGUCCAAUAGAUUUUGUUAGUGCCUUGGGUGCUCGUUUCGCAAGCUUUACUGUAUCCCAAAUGUUAGGAUGGUCAAAUCCUGUUGUGCCUGCAAUAUCACACGCUGUGGCGAAUGUUAUGGAUUUUUUUUUCUUGCCGGCAUAUGAACUUCAGCGAGCAGAUUUCUGGCUCACUUUGAAACAAUCCUCGAAACUGGGGCCGUUUCUGAUCUUUUGCUCCACAAAUGAUCACCUAGCACCAUAUAACACCAUCAACGAGUUUGCUACGGUUUUGAGGGAAUUGGGUGGUCAAGUUGAUCUUGUUGUAUGGGACACUUCAGAUCACGUUGGCCAUCUUCGCAAUUAUCCGAAGGAGUAUCAUGGUGCAGUGAAGUCUUUUUUGGAUCGAUGUCUCAAUGUUUCUAAUACAUACGAUCUGAAGGGCAUAUCAAACUCGGUGUCCUUACAAGACCAGUUUGGUCUAACGAGGAAUCUGCUCAUCAAUUCUAAAUUGUGACAGUGAACGCCUUUAGACGGGAGGUAUAAAGUUAUGUAUCUAGAUCGUUGUAACAAGUGGUUACAUUGCUGAGAUGCUAAAUUUCUGUUGUACUCUGAAUAUCACAUAGGAUUGGUUCCACAUUUAGUAAGAAGUAAUUUGACUCUCGUCCUUAUAUCUUUGAUAACUGAAGGGGUUGUGUGAAGAGUGCAAGAGUGCGAAGAGGCACGCAGUCUCUCAAAGACUCAUCAUGAGUGCUUUCUGAGAUACUAAGAAACGAAAUCUCCAUUGAAAUGUAGGCGAGGAGGACGCAAAGGCCGUGGCCGAUAAACCCUGUACAACAAAACCUGUCCUGUACACAUCGAACGUUGGUGUUGUGGUGUUAAGGCCUAGUCGGAUUAACAUUUUGAGAAACAGUGAUUCAUGUCAUAGUAUCUAUCACAGUUAUCAUUCUGGAGUUUAAGUUGUCUCUGUAAGAAUCUGGUAUUUGUCUUUGGUAUAGCGAAACAGUUGUUGGUGUCAAGGGACAGAUAGAAACUUCACGCGAACACGUAUAGAGGGAUACGAACAGGUCCAGGGGAACAUCUUCCCAUCUUUCUUUUCGCCUUGGAAAUGUUUACUGUGACAAUACUUUGGUUAAAAUGAACAAUUGAUGGUGGAUAAUACUUAAUGCUAAUCAUGCUCUCAAAUAUUUUAAAGCGGA